RNAcentral lists this ribosomal RNA (239 nucleotides) under uncultured bacterium. Its description in RNAcentral is "partial 16S ribosomal RNA". It matches the Rfam family "Bacterial small subunit ribosomal RNA", at positions 524 to 763 of the family's 1533-position model. The record is from RNAcentral.
UACAGAGGUGGCAAGCGUUGUUCGGAAUUACUGGGCGUAAAGGGCGCGUAGGCGGCCUUCUAAGUCAGACGUGAAAUCCCCCGGCUUAACCUGGGAACUGCGUCUGAUACUGGAGGCUUGAGUAUGGGAGAGGGAUGUAGAAUUCCAGGUGUAGCGGUGAAAUGCGUAGAUAUCUGGAGGAAUACCGGUGGCGAAGGCGGCAUCCUGGACCAUUACUGACGCUGAGGCGCGAAAAGCUA